GAUGAAGAACGCAGCGAAAUGCGAUAAGUAAUGUGAAUUGCAGAAUUCAGUGAAUCAUCGAAUCUUUGAACGCACCUUGCACCCUUUGGAAUUCCAAAGGGUAUGCUCGUUUGAGUGUCAUUGUACUCUCACACUCUCCGAUCCUUUGGAUUUGGGGAGCGGUGGACUUGGGUGCUUGCUGCUUUCAUUGUGGCUCACCUCAAAUGUGUCAGUGCAUCUCUUGAUUGGACAUAGUACGGCGUGAUAAGUGUCUUCGCCGGCACCUCAUAUGAGGGUGGCCGAUCGGGAGCUCUGUGCUUUCAAACCGUCUUCGGACAACGCUGACAACUUGACCUCAAAUCGAGUAGGACUACCCGCUGAACUUAAGCAUAUCAAUAAGCGGAGGA
RNAcentral lists this unclassified non-coding RNA (386 nucleotides) under soil metagenome. Its description in RNAcentral is "partial contains 5.8S ribosomal RNA, internal transcribed spacer 2, and large subunit ribosomal RNA". The stretch from base 1 to 120 matches the Rfam family "5.8S ribosomal RNA", at positions 35 to 154 of the family's 154-position model. The record is from RNAcentral.